RNAcentral lists this ribosomal RNA (492 nucleotides) under uncultured bacterium. RNAcentral describes it as "partial 16S ribosomal RNA". It matches the Rfam family "Bacterial small subunit ribosomal RNA", at positions 29 to 507 of the family's 1533-position model. The record is from RNAcentral.
AGUGAACGCUGGCGGUAGGCCUAACACAUGCAAGUCGAACGGCAGCACAGUAAGAGCUUGCUCUUACGGGUGGCGAGUGGCGGACGGGUGAGGAAUACAUCGGAAUCUACUUUUUCGUGGGGGAUAACGUAGGGAAACUUACGCUAAUACCGCAUACGACCUACGGGUGAAAGCAGGGGAUCUUCGGACCUUGCGCGAUUGAAUGAGUCGAUGUCGGAUUAGCUAGUUGGCGGGGUAAAGGCCCACCAAGGCGACGAUCCGUAGCUGGUCUGAGAGGAUGAUCAGCCACACUGGAACUGAGACACGGUCCAGACUCCUACGGGAGGCAGCAGUGGGGAAUAUUGGACAAUGGGCGCAAGCCUGAUCCAGCCAUACCGCGUGGGUGAAGAAGGCCUUCGGGUUAUAAAGCCCUUUUGUUGGGAAAGAAAAGCAGCAGGUUAAUACCCCGCUGUUCUGACGGUACCCAAAGAAUAAGCACCGGCUAACUUCGUG